This 229-nucleotide ribosomal RNA is filed under the name uncultured bacterium. RNAcentral describes it as "partial 16S ribosomal RNA". It matches the Rfam family "Bacterial small subunit ribosomal RNA", at positions 568 to 796 of the family's 1533-position model. The record is from RNAcentral.
UGCGCAGGCGGGCUUGUAAGUCAGUGGUGAAAUACUGCCGCUUAACGGUAGAACUGCCAUUGAUACUGCAAGUCUUGAAUAUGGUUGAGGUAGGCGGAAUGUGUUGUGUAGCGGUGAAAUGCAUAGAUAUGACACAGAACGCCGAUUGCGAAGGCAGCUUACUAAGCCAUAAUUGACGCUGCGGCACGAAAGCGUGGGGAGCGAACAGGAUUAGAUACCCUGGUAGUCC